AUGGAGACACUCAAAAGAGCUAUGUGCUGUGCUGGAUGUGAGGAGGAAGUUUUGCCACUGAAGCGCUCCAAGGCUGAGGGAGCAUCCAUGACGGCUAGCCAUCUUGAGGUGGUUUCCCCGAGGUCCAAAAGGAACCUGGAAGAUGAGGAUCAAUCUGAACAGAUUUUAAAACGUUCCAAGUAUGACAGUCCUAUUGUUGCCGAAUCACCAUGGGAAUCAUCUGGCCUGAUAGUUGCCUUGAGAAGCGUAAUGCGACGAGGGAAAGACUUGCAUCUGGAGAGGUGUGAUGUUAGGCUUGAGAAGCGGGAGCUUCGGUUGGAGAACCGUGAGGCUUGGCUGGCGAAUCGUGAGGUUAGGUUGGAAAAGCGCGAGCGUCGCUUGGAUCGCUAUGAGAAUCAGAAAGAUCAGAGUUUGGAGCAGCGGAAGGCGGAUUUUGAUAAGAACUGGGAGGGGUAUCAGAAUUGGUUGCUUUAUAAAGCUGCCCUAGAGGACGCCCCCUCUGCUUCCAAAGUGGAUGGCCCCUCUCCUGCCGCAGAGAAGGUCUCUGCUCCUGCCCCAAAGACCUCAGCUCCUAUAGCUGCUCCUGCCCCGGGGAAUCAAACUCCUGGCUCAUUGAACAGAGUUGCGGACGCUGUCAAGACUGGAGUCACCACCGUCACUGAGAGUCUGGAAAGUGCCGACAAAAUGACCACGCUUCUGGAGAAGGUUGUGGCUGCUCCGACAAGAGUGCAGGACCUAAGGAAAAGCUAUGAAGAAAACAAAGCAAUUGUCUCUGCAAUGAGGAAAAGCUACGAGGAUAACACGGAAGUUGGCUCCUCCUUCAAGAGUGUUGUUGCGGGUGUCGUGACCAGCAGCCUGUUGCUUGCAAGGCAAGCUUUGAAGGAUUUGGUACGGGGAGGUGGAGGAGAUGGUGAUGCCGAGUGA
This 924-nucleotide ribosomal RNA is filed under the name Triticum aestivum (bread wheat). RNAcentral's name for it is "partial small subunit ribosomal RNA". Lineage: Eukaryota; Viridiplantae; Streptophyta; Magnoliopsida; Poales; Poaceae. The record is from RNAcentral.